This 301-nucleotide ribosomal RNA is filed under the name uncultured bacterium. RNAcentral's name for it is "partial 16S ribosomal RNA". It matches the Rfam family "Bacterial small subunit ribosomal RNA", at positions 510 to 808 of the family's 1533-position model. The record is from RNAcentral.
AGUAGCCGCGGUAAUACAGAGGGUGCAAGCGUUAAUCGGAAUUACUGGGCGUAAAGCGCGCGUAGGUGGUUUGUUAAGUUGGAUGUGAAAUCCCCGGGCUCAACCUGGGAACUGCAUCCAAAACUGGCAAGCUAGAGUAUGGUAGAGGGUGGUGGAAUUUCCUGUGUAGCGGUGAAAUGCGUAGAUAUAGGAAGGAACACCAGUGGCGAAGGCGACCACCUGGACUGAUACUGACACUGAGGUGCGAAAGCGUGGGGAGCAAACAGGAUUAGAUACCCGUGUAGUCCCUGUCUCUUAUACA